RNAcentral lists this non-coding RNA (30 nucleotides) under Mus musculus (house mouse). Lineage: Eukaryota; Metazoa; Chordata; Mammalia; Rodentia; Muridae. The record is from RNAcentral.
UCCUAGAGCACACUCUACUACUAGAUGGAC